UUACAGUGUUGUUUCCCGCCAUAAUAGAUACGGACGCAGCCGCGCCUUCUACUUCGGACUUCUGGUUGUAGUCUCAGUGUACUGCUUGCCAUUCUGAAAAAGAUCACUUCUCAGUCUCACCUUCUCUUCAUUUUCUAGGGUUCGCAAGGAAGAAAAAUACCGUAGACCUGCGCCAUGGGCGAUUCUAGGGUUUUCGCCGAUUACAACCCUAGUACUUCACGGUCCAGGGCAGGUACCGUUAUGCGGAUCCGAUUAGAGAACUUCAUGUGUCACAGCAACCUCCAAAUCGAGCUCUGCCCUUGGGUCAAUUUCAUUACCGGUCAAAAUGGAAGCGGCAAAAGUGCAAUAUUGACUGCUUUAUGUAUUGCAUUUGGAAGCCGAGCCAAAGGGACUCAGCGGGCAGCUACCUUGAAGGAUUUUAUCAAAACUGGUUGCAGCUAUGCUGUUGUUGAAGUGGUAGUGAAAAAUCAAGGGGAGGACGCGUUUAAGCCAGAUAUCUAUGGUGAUGCCAUAACUAUAGAACGCAGGAUUAAUCAAUCAACAAGUUCCACAGUCUUAAAAGAUUUCCAAGGAAAAAAAGUUGCUAGUCGGAAAGAGGAACUUCGGGAGCUCAUUGAACAUUUUAAUAUUGAUGUUGAGAAUCCUUGUGUAAUCAUGAGUCAAGACAAAAGCAGAGAGUUCUUACAUUCUGGGAAUGACAAAGAUAAAUUCAAAUUUUUUUUCAAGGCAACUCUCCUUCAGCAAGUUAAUGAUCUUUUACAAAGUAUUUACGAACAUUUAAGGUCUGCAAAUGCACUUGUUGAUGAAUUGGAGGCUACAAUAAAACCCAUAGAGAAAGAAAUUGCUGAAUUGCAAGUGAAAAUAAAAAACAUGGAGCAUAUAGAAGAAAUAUCUCAGCAGGCACAACAAUUAAAGAAGAAGCUUGCAUGGUCAUGGGUUUAUUAUGUAGACAAGCAACUUGAAGAACAAAGUGUGAAGAUUGGAAAGCUUAAAGAACGUAUGCCCACUUGCCAAGCUAAAAUUGACUGGGAACAAGGUAAGGUGGAGUCGCUGAGGGACCACUUUACAAAGAAGAAGGCCCAAAUUGCACUCAUGAUGCAAAAAACAUCAGAAGUGAGGAGAAAACAGGAUGAAUUGCAGAAUUCUAUUUCCUUGGCAACAAAAGAGAAGCUUGAGUUAGAAGAAAAGCAUGGUCGUGCAGCCAACCACAUUCAGAAAUUGCUAAAACGUGCACAGUCUCUUCAACAAGAAGUCCAUGAUACUCAGGAGCAACAUUUUAGAAACACACAGGCUGAAGAAUCUGAAAUAGAGGAAAGGAUAAAAGAACUACAAUGUAUGGUUGAUGCUGCUAGUGCCACAUUACAAAGGUUGAAGGAAGAUGAACGUGAGUUAUCAGAAACCGUAUCCAAGGGAAUGAAUGAAAUCAGAAAAAUAAAUGAAGAGAUAGAUAAUUAUGAAAAGAAGCGUCAUGAUACCAAUACAAGCAUUCGCCAGCUUCGGCAACACAAAGCCAACAAGGUGACGGCCUUUGGGGGACAGAGAGUGAUUCAUCUUCUGCAAGUUAUUGAAAGAUAUCACCAACAAUUUGACAGACCGCCUAUAGGUCCAAUUGGUGUCCACCUGACAUUGGUUGAUGGUGAUGCAUGGGCUCUUGCUGUUGAAAAUGCCAUUGGAAGGUUGCUCAAUGCUUUUAUUGUAACAAGUCAUAAUGAUUCUCGACUUCUAAGAAGUUGUGCUAGAGAAGUAAGAUAUGAUAACCUUCAAAUUAUCAUAUAUGACUUCUCACGACCAAGGUUGGCCAUACCACCUGACAUGCUUCCCAGGACAAAUAAACCUACUACACUUUCUGUUCUACAUUCUGAAAAUCAUAUUGUAUUGAAUGUCUUGGUGGAUAUGGGUAGUGCUGAGAGGCAAGUGCUUGUAGAAGAUUAUGACGCAGGUCGGGCUGUUGCUUUUGACAGAAAGAUCCCAAAUCUGAAGGAGGUUUUCACCUUAGAUGGAUAUAAAAUGUUUUCCCGGGGUUCAGUUCAGACAGUGCUUCCUCCAAAUAAGAAGCUUAGAACUGGCCGUCUAUGUAGCUCUUAUGAUAAUCACAUUAAGGAUCUUGAACAACGUGCAUCAAAUUUUCAAAAGGAAGCUGAAGAAUGCAGGAAAAGGAAACGGGAAACUGAGGCAAAUCUUCAGGAUCUUCAAAAUGGUCUAAAUAAUGUGAAGCGGAGAUGCUCAAGUGCUGAGCGGGAUCUGGCAUCCAAGAAACUAGCACUACAAGAUUUGAAGAAGUCAUAUGCUUCUGAAAGUAGUACACCAGCUGUCUCAACUGUUGAUGAGCUUCAUCAAGAAAUUUCAAAACUCCAAGAGGACAUACAAGAAAAAGAAAUUGCUCUGGAGAUAUUUCGAGUUAGAAGGGAUGAAGCUGAAGCUAAGGCUAGGGACCUGGGAUUAUCAUUUGAGAAUUUAUGCGAGUCAGCUAAAGAAGAACUUGAUGCCUUUGACAAAGCAGAGGCUGAGCUUAUGAAGAUAGAAAAAGAUCUACAGUCUGCAGAAGCGGAGAAGACUCAUUAUGAAGGUAUAAUGACUAACAAGGUCCUUCCUGAUAUCCAAGCAGCAGAGGCACAUUAUCGAGAGCUUGAAGAGACCCGGAAGGAGAGUUGUAGAAAAGCUUCAAUUAUAUGUCCUGAGAGUGAUAUUGAAGCUUUAGGAGGUUGGGAUGGGAGCAGCCCAGAGCAACUCAGCGCCCAAUUAAAAAGAUUGAACCAGAGGCUUCAGCAUGAGAGCCAGCGGUAUUCUGACUCUAUCGAUGAUCUUAGAAUUUUGUACCAGAAAAAGCAACGUAAAAUCUUAAAAAAACAACAAACAUAUCAAGGGUUUCGAGAAAAGUUGAAGGCUUGUCAGGAAGCCCUAGAUCUGCGAUGGAACAAGUUUCAGAGGAACAGUACUCUUCUAAAGCGUCAGUUGACUUGGAAUUUUAAUGGUCAUUUAGGAAAGAAAGGGAUCAGUGGUAACAUCAAAGUUAGUUAUGAAGAAAAAACCCUUAAAGUAGAGGUAAAGAUGCCCCAAGAUGCAUCAAGCAGCUCUGUUCGUGACACCAGAGGUCUUUCAGGCGGUGAGCGUUCUUUUUCAACAUUGUGCUUUGCAUUAGCUCUUCAUGAGAUGACAGAAGCCCCAUUCCGAGCAAUGGAUGAGUUUGAUGUAUUUAUGGAUGCGGUUAGCCGGAAAAUUAGCUUAGACACUUUAGUGGACUUUGCAUUGGCGCAAGGGUGUCAGUGGAUAUUUAUCACACCUCAUGAUAUCAGUAUGGUAAAACAAGGGGAAAGGAUAAAGAAGCAGCAAAUGGCGGCUCCUCGCUCUUGAUUCUACCCAUACGAGUAAUUCUUCCCCCAUUUGUACAACUUGAAAUGCUAUGCUCUCAAUUUGAUCAGAUGACAUACGAAGGUUUUGCCUGCUGGAGAACUGUAUCGAACAGCAACAAUGCGACAAAAAUUUAACGAGUAGUUCAAUGUCGUAUAUUUUUGUGCAUGUUUAGAUUGAUUUGAAAAUCUAUUGUGCCUACGGCGUGGCGUUGAGCGUAUUAAAUUUGGAAGCAGAUGGAUCUAAUGAAUAAUGCAUAUGAUACCAUCCAUGAAUUAUGAGUGUCCAAGAUUUCUUGAACAGGGAAUGGGCUCUGAUACGAGUUUCCAAUUACAAGACAAAGCUGUCCGUGGUUUGAAUAUCCCUAAGAAUUCCAGCUAAGAAAAGUGUGGGAACCUAUCAUUUUUCUACUGUGUUGAAUAUCCUUCCUUCCCUUAUGUAACAACCAGUUCUAAUGCAUCACUUUUUGAGAUCCCAUUGAGUUUGAAACAUGUUACUUUGAAGAAGAGGGUUUUUAGUCGUUAUGUAAAAGUCUUGGAAAUGUCAAAUGUAAACCACACCUUUAUACAGUGCAUAUUUUAAUAUCUUGGGUGGAAAUAAUUGAAAGCAUCUCUACGGCAAAAAUAACGCAUUUUGAUAAA
RNA transcript from Jatropha curcas, 3989 nucleotides. It is a transcript of the gene named structural maintenance of chromosomes protein 6B, with no coding region annotated. NCBI's taxonomy places the organism in Eukaryota, Viridiplantae, Streptophyta, Magnoliopsida, Malpighiales, Euphorbiaceae. The record is from RefSeq and is a predicted model, not a curated record.